Molecule: ribosomal RNA, 465 nt
Filed under: uncultured bacterium
Lineage: Bacteria
Description: bacterial SSU rRNA
Rfam family: Bacterial small subunit ribosomal RNA
Source: RNAcentral
AAUCAACGCUGGCGGCGUGCCUAACACAUGCAAGUCGCACGAGAAAGGGACUUCGGUCCUGAGUACAGUGGCGCACGGGUGAGUAACACGUGAAUCAUCUACCUUCGAGUGGGGAAUAACUGAGAGAAAUCUUAGCUAAUACCGCAUAAUACCUACGGGUCAAAGCAGCAAUGCGCUUGAAGAGGAGUUCGCGGCAGAUUAGUUAGUUGGCAGGGUAAUGGCCUACCAAGACGAUGAUCUGUAUCCGGCCUGAGAGGGCGCACGGACACACUGGAACUGAAACACGGUCCAGACUCCUACGGGAGGCAGCAGUGGGGAAUUUUGCGCAAGUGGGGGAAACCCUGACGCAGCAACGCCGCGUGGAGGAUGAAAUCCCUUGGGAUNUAAACUCCUUUCGANCGGGAAGAUAAUGACGGUACCGAGAGAAGAAGCCCCGGCUAACUUCGUGCCAGCAGCCGCCGUAAU